This 436-nucleotide ribosomal RNA is filed under the name Crocidura theresae (Therese's shrew). Its description in RNAcentral is "partial 16S ribosomal RNA". It matches the Rfam family "Bacterial large subunit ribosomal RNA", at positions 1627 to 2293 of the family's 2925-position model. The record is from RNAcentral. Lineage: Eukaryota; Metazoa; Chordata; Mammalia; Eulipotyphla; Soricidae.
AUUAAUAAUUUUCCACUAUAUUGUUAAUCCGACGCUGGUGUGUACAUAAGGAAAGAUUAAAAAAAGUAAAAGGAACUCGGCAAACACAAACCCCGCCUGUUUACCAAAAACAUCACCUCUAGCAUUACCAGUAUUAGAGGCACUGCCUGCCCAGUGACAUUAGUUAAACGGCCGCGGUAUCCUGACCGUGCAAAGGUAGCAUAAUCAUUUGUUCCUUAAUUAGGGACUUGUAUGAAUGGCCCCACGAGGGUUUAACUGUCUCUUACUUUCAAUCAGUGAAAUUGACCCUCCCGUGAAGAGGCGGGAAUAUAAAAAUAAGACGAGAAGACCCUAUGGAGCUUAAAUUAAUUUGCUCAACAAAAUUUAAAUUCAGCCCAACAGGAAUAAUUAUAAUUUAACUGAGCAAUAAAUUUUGGUUGGGGUGACCUCGGAGUAU